Small nuclear RNA from Pogoniulus pusillus (Red-fronted tinkerbird), 115 nucleotides. RefSeq annotates it as U5 spliceosomal RNA. The transcript has a single exon. Lineage: Eukaryota; Metazoa; Chordata; Aves; Piciformes; Lybiidae. The record is from RefSeq and is a predicted model, not a curated record.
AAACUCUGGUUUCUCUUCAGCUCAUAUAAAUCUUUUGCUUUUUACUAAAGAUUUCCAUGGAGAGGAACAAGUAUGAGUGUCAAUGAAUUUUUUUAUGCUCUACUUUGGUAGAGCU